UGGGGAAUAUUGCACAAUGGGCGAAAGCCUGAUGCAGCGACGCCGCGUGAGGGAUGACGGCCUUCGGGUUGUAAACCUCUUUCAGCAGGGACGAAGCGCAAGUGACGGUACCUGCUGAAGAAGCACCGGCUAACUACGUGCCAGCAGCCGCGGUAAUACGUAGGGUGCAAGCGUUGUCCGGAAUUACUGGGCGUAAAGAGUUCGUAGGCGGUUUGUCGCGUCGUUUGUGAAAACCAGCAGCUCAACUGCUGGCUUGCAGGCGAUACGGGCAGACUUGAGUACUGCAGGAGAGACUGGAAUUCCUGGUGGAGCGGUGAAAUGCGCAGAUAUCAGGAGGAACACCGGUGGCGAAGGCGGGUCUCUGGGCAGUAACUGACGCUGAGGAACGAAAGCGUGGGUAGCGAACAGG
This 409-nucleotide ribosomal RNA is filed under the name bacterium. Its description in RNAcentral is "partial 16S ribosomal RNA". It matches the Rfam family "Bacterial small subunit ribosomal RNA", at positions 355 to 776 of the family's 1533-position model. The record is from RNAcentral.